Molecule: ribosomal RNA, 1404 nt
Filed under: Apilactobacillus sp.
Lineage: Bacteria; Bacillati; Bacillota; Bacilli; Lactobacillales; Lactobacillaceae
Description: bacterial SSU rRNA
Rfam family: Bacterial small subunit ribosomal RNA
Source: RNAcentral
UCCCAAAUUGAUUUUAUGCUUGCAUAAAUGAUUUUUGGAUUCGGAGCGAGUGGCGAACUGGUGAGUAACACGUGGGUAACCUGCCCCGAAGCGGGGGAUAACAUUUGGAAACAAGUGCUAAUACCGCAUAAUUAGUUGGAACCGCAUGGUUCCAACUUGAAAGAUGGCUCUGCUAUCACUUUGGGAUGGACCCGCGCCGUAUUAGUUAGUUGGUGAGAUAAAAGCCCACCAAGACGAUGAUACGUAGCCGACCUGAGAGGGUAAUCGGCCACAUUGGGACUGAGACACGGCCCAGACUCCUACGGGAGGCAGCAGUAGGGAAUCUUCCACAAUGGACGAAAGUCUGAUGGAGCAACGCCGCGUGAGUGAUGAAGGUUUUCGGAUCGUAAAACUCUGUUGUUAAAGAAGAACAAGUGUUAGAGUAACUGUUAACACUUUGACGGUAUUUAACCAGAAAGCCACGGCUAACUACGUGCCAGCAGCCGCGGUAAUACGUAGGUGGCAAGCGUUGUCCGGAUUUAUUGGGCGUAAAGCGAGCGCAGGCGGUUUUGUAAGUCUGCUGUGAAAGCCCUCAGCUCAACUGAGGAAGUGCAGUGGAAACUACAAAACUUGAGUACAGAAGAGGAAAGUGGAACUCCAUGUGUAGCGGUGAAAUGCGUAGAUAUAUGGAAGAACACCAGUGGCGAAGGCGGCUUUCUGGUCUGUUACUGACGCUGAGGCUCGAAAGCAUGGGUAGCGAACAGGAUUAGAUACCCUGGUAGUCCAUGCCGUAAACGAUGAAUACUAGGUGUUGGAGGGUUUCCGCCCUUCAGUGCCGCAGCUAACGCAUUAAGUAUUCCGCCUGGGGGAGUACGACCGCAAGGUUGAAACUCAAAGGAAUUGACGGGGGCCCGCACAAGUGGGUGGAGCAUGUGGUUUAAUUCGAUGCUACGCGAAGAACCUUACCAGCUCUUGACAUCUUCUGCCAACCCAAGAGAUUGGGCGUUCCCUUCGGGGACAGAAUGACAGGUGGUGCAUGGUUGUCGUCAGCUCGUGUCGUGAGAUGUUGGGUUAAGUCCCGCAACGAGCGCAACCCUUAUUAUUAGUUGCCAGCAUUUAGUUGGGCACUCUAGUGAGACUGCCGGUGAUAAACCGGAGGAAGGUGGGGACGACGUCAAAUCAUCAUGCCCCUUAUGAGCUGGGCUACACACGUGCUACAAUGGAUGGUACAACGAGUCGCGAAACCGCGAGGUCAAGCUAAUCUCUUAAAGCCAUUCUCAGUUCGGAUUGCAGGCUGCAACUCGCCUGCAUGAAGUUGGAAUCACUAGUAAUCGUGGAUCAGCAUGCCACGGUGAAUACGUUCCCGGGCCUUGUACACACCGCCCGUCACACCAUGAGAGUUUGUAACACCCAAAGACGAUGGGG